CCCGCUCAGAAAACUCAAAGGAAUUGACGGGGGCCCGCACAAGCGGAGGAGCAUGUGGUUUAAUUCGAUGAUACGCGAGGAACCUUACCUGGGCUCAAAUGUAUGUUGACGUAUUCUGAAAGGGAUACUUCUUCGGACAAUAUACAAGGUGCUGCAUGGUUGUCGUCAGCUCGUGCCGUGAGGGUGUCGGGUUAAGUCCCAUAACGAGCGCAACCCCUAUCAUUAGUUGCCAUCAGGUCAAGCUGGGGACUCUAAUGAGACUGCCAUCGUAAGAUGUGAGGAAGGUGGGGAUGACGUCAAAUCAGCACGGCCCUUACGUCCGGGGCGACACACGUGUUACAAUGGGUGGUACAAAGGGCAGCUACCUGGCGACAGGAUGCUAAUCUCCAAAACCACUCUCAGUUCGGAUCGGAGUCUGCAACUCGACUCCGUGAAGCUGGAUUCGCUAGUAAUCGUGGAUCAGCCAAGCCGCGGUGAAUACGUUCCCGGGCCUU
Molecule: ribosomal RNA, 494 nt
Filed under: uncultured Proteiniphilum sp.
Lineage: Bacteria; Pseudomonadati; Bacteroidota; Bacteroidia; Bacteroidales; Dysgonomonadaceae
Description: bacterial SSU rRNA
Rfam family: Bacterial small subunit ribosomal RNA
Source: RNAcentral